RNAcentral lists this long non-coding RNA (1141 nucleotides) under Sus scrofa (pig). Its description in RNAcentral is "lncRNA (ENSSSCG00070021668.1)". Lineage: Eukaryota; Metazoa; Chordata; Mammalia; Artiodactyla; Suidae. The record is from RNAcentral.
AUGCAGCCAAAAGGUCGUGCUCAGCAGCCAGGAAACCCUCAGGUGAAGCCACAUCCUGCCCAAGCAUCUCGGCAGACGCACAAUGUACAUCUCCCCUCGUUGCUGAUAUUGAUUUUAAUCACAAAGGUCACUGACUUCUGCAAAACUCUUAAAAAGGAACAGCCUCUGAAGGCUGGCAAAGAAGGUGCCUGGCUACGACUCGAAUGUGGAUUGUCUUCAGGAACGGUGGCUUCUGCAGAAGGGACCCAUCCUCAGUGUCCAUUUCCCACCUGGGAAGCAGGCUUCGGUGCUUGAGAAGGGGGUGGGACCUGGGCCUCCUCUGCCUGAAAAGCCCCCCAGGACCUGGGGCAGGAGGAGGUCUCAUGGGGUCUCACAGGCUGCCCCUCCCCAACUUCCUUUUAAAACCCCUCCAUCAGAGAAAAGGGAACCCUCCUGCACUGUUGGUGGGAAUGUCAACUGUUACAACCGCUAUGGCAAACAGCAUGUAGGUUGUUCAGAAAACUGAAUAUAGAACUACCAUAUGAUCCAGCAAUCCCACUCUUGGGUAUAUAUCCGGACAAGACUUUCAUGGAAAAAGAUACACGCACCCCUAUGUCCAUUGCAGUACUAGUCACAAUGGCCAAGACAUGGAAACAACCUAAAUGUCGACAGGUGACUGAAUUAAGAAGAUGUAGGACCCAUACACAAUGGAAUAGUACUCAGCCAUGAAAAAACGAAAUCAUGCCAUUUGCAACAACAUGGAUGGCCCUAGAGAUUAUCAUACUGAGUCAGAAAGAGAAAGACAAGUACCAUAUGGCAUCACUUAUAUGGAAUCUAAAGUAGGGCACAGAUGAACCUACCUACAGAAUAGAAACAGACCCACAGACAUGGAGAUCAGACUUGUGGUUGCCAAGGAAGAGGGAGUGGGAUGGAUUGGGCAUUUGGAGUUAGCAGAUGCAAACUACUACAUUUAGAACGGAUAAGCGUUUAGCACAGGGAACUAUACUCAGUCUCCUGGGAUAGAACGUGAUAGAAGACAACACAAAAAAUAAUGUGUAUAUGUAUAUGUAUGACUGGGUCACUCUGCUGGACAGCAGAAAUUGACAGAACAUUGUAAAUCAACUAUAAUAAAAUUACUUUUUAAUUUUUAUUUUUUUUGUCA